This is a long non-coding RNA of Xenopus tropicalis (tropical clawed frog), 1611 nucleotides long. RefSeq lists it as uncharacterized. Lineage: Eukaryota; Metazoa; Chordata; Amphibia; Anura; Pipidae. The record is from RefSeq and is a predicted model, not a curated record. The transcript is spliced from 2 exons.
UCAACCCCAUCUGAUCAGUUGGUAUGUGGGGGGCAGUGGCUGAAAGGUGCAUAAAUGUGGGCUGGACAGUGGUCAAGGGAGCAACCUGGGGGGAGCAACCUGGGAGAAGAACCUGGGAGGAGCACCUGGGGACUGGAUCAGAAGUGACUGGGCAAGAUGUGAGACAGACCGGAGAGAGAAGGCCAUGGCAAGGAAUCAGACCACCAUGUUCUUUGUUCAUCGGAUAAACAAGGAUUCAGGAUUAUGUAAAGGAGAAUUCCGUGCCUUACCGUGUCCUGUGGAAAAAAAAAAAAAAAUUAUAGAGGACCUUAUGUAUUUGUUUUUUUUUUUCCUUUUUACACAGAAGGAGAAGUCUCUAAAUUGGUAUGGUACAGUCAGGUUAUACAAAUUCAAAAACAUUUUUUGGUUUUUAAUAGUUAGAAUGACCUGCACUGUGAGGGAGUAAAAUGGUUGCUGCUUUAGUUUAGCAGGAGAGUAAAAAUCACUGAGGCACAAUUUGAAUUUUAUUUUUGAUAUGAUUUGCCUGAGUCAGAUUUUGUUUUUUUUUACUCUUUGUAUUAGCAGCAACACGUUUGUGACAUUUUUACAUAGACUGCAUGUUGCUUGAUAACUUCAAUAUAUGUUAUGUGUUUCUGUAUCAAAGCAGUAUUCAGUCUAUAGUUUUUUUUUCUCUCCAAAGUUUGUCUUUUGUUGUUUUUAUCUUGAGUUUGAUGUGUGUGUAAAGUCUUCAAGGUGGGGUGUUUUAAAACCAAUUCACUUCACUAGUCUGCAUUAUAGUUACCAAUCUGGUUUCUAGUACUGGUUUCUAGUACUUUGUUUAUGUUUAUGGUCUGUCUGUCCAGAACAAAAAAAACAGCUAGGCCUAACAAUGAUGCUCCUUACCUCUAUGUUACUCUAUUUUAGAUGAUCAGGCAUGAAACUGAGGUGGAAAUACUGAGACAAAGAUGACAAACAACUCACUAGUGAUUUGGCUAAGAUAGUGCUGCACACUUUAGUGUAGUGUAUCUUUUUAAUUUCCUGAAGUCAGUAUUGGUUAUGGUCACACCUAUCCAUGAAUUGAGGUGCUAAUCCCAGCUAUGCUGAUUAAUAAAAUGUGCCACAGAGUUUCUCACACUACCCCACAAUAAUAAAGGAUUUUCCCUGUGUGGUCUCAUUUAUAUGGUAACCGUGGUAAGCAAAAUGUGUUGGGUGUUGCAAACACCACAGUGUAAAGGCCAUGGGUUACUGCAGAGGCCUAAAAUGGGAUCCAGCCCAGACAUGGGUGGAGCAGUGUCACGUGGGUAAGUGGUGUGUACAGCGCACAGACAAUACAGCAAAGUGAGCUGGAAACAAAGCCUCUAAAAGUGUGUGAGAUUUUCUAACUGGCAGAAGGGUUCAAAUUAUGAAUAUAAACUGUGAGUGUUUUUAUAAUUGGGUUAAAUAUUACCUCACAGUACCCUAAAACUUAAGCCUGUGUGAGUGUUAUAUAAUUUGGGUCUCAGUAAUCCUUUCACUUUCAGCACAAAUACAUAUUAUUCAUUAAUUGGUAUCCCUGAAUGUUAUACCUUUUUGUAUUUAGAGGGCUCUUUCCUUGUGAAGUCCUUCGCCCUCUAGGUGGGGAUUUGUAAGAAA